CGUCGUCGUGGCGGAUGGCGAACCGCACGCCCAUCCCGGCGUGAAGAGUGCUCACGCCUUGACGCGGUUCGACGCCCCGAACAGCGC
Molecule: transfer RNA, 87 nt
Filed under: Microbacterium sp. SA39
Lineage: Bacteria; Bacillati; Actinomycetota; Actinomycetes; Micrococcales; Microbacteriaceae
Description: tRNA-OTHER
Source: RNAcentral